This is a small nucleolar RNA of Impatiens glandulifera, 105 nucleotides long. RefSeq annotates it as small nucleolar RNA R30/Z108. NCBI's taxonomy places the organism in Eukaryota, Viridiplantae, Streptophyta, Magnoliopsida, Ericales, Balsaminaceae. The transcript has a single exon. The record is from RefSeq and is a predicted model, not a curated record.
UCAGAUCACAAUGACGAUAAAAAGCUCCCUCUUCUGAAUAAGAAGUUGUAGACAAUUGUAGGCAGAAUCGAACCUAAUUUUAAUACUUGCCACUACUGAGAGUGA